AUUGAACGCUGGCGGCAUGCUUUACACAUGCAAGUCGAACGGUAACAGGUUAAGCUGACGAGUGGCGAACGGGUGAGUAAUGCAUCGGAACGUGCCCGAUCGUGGGGGAUAACGCAGCGAAAGCUGCGCUAAUACCGCAUACGAUCUGAGGACGAAAGCGGGGGACCGUAAGGCCGCGCGCGAUAGGAGCGGCCGAUGUCAGAUUAGGUAGAUGGUAGGGUAAAGGCUCACCAAGCCAACGAUCUGUAGCUGGUCUGAGAGGACGACCAGCCACACUGGGACUGAGACACGGCCCAGACUCCUACGGGAGGCAGCAGUGGGGAAUUUUGGACAAUAGGCGAAAGCCUGAUCCAGCAAUGCCGCGUGCAGGAAGAAGGCCUUCGGGUUGUAAACUGCUUUUGUACGGAGCGAAAAGGCCCUCUCUAAUACCGUGGGCUCAUUACGGUACCGUAAGAAUAAGCACCGGCUAACUACGUGCCAGCAGCCGCAGUAA
Molecule: ribosomal RNA, 493 nt
Filed under: uncultured bacterium
Lineage: Bacteria
Description: partial 16S ribosomal RNA
Rfam family: Bacterial small subunit ribosomal RNA
Source: RNAcentral